UACGGAGGGUGCAAGCGUUAAUCGGAAUUACUGGGCGUAAAGCGCACGCAGGUGGCUGAGUGAGUCGAUUGUGAAAGCCCUGGGCUUAACCUGGGAAUUGUAGUCGAUACUACUCAGCUCGAGUAUGGGAGAGGGCAGUGGAAUUCCCGGUGUAGCGGUGAAAUGCGUAGAUAUGCGGAGGAACACCGAUGGCGAAGGCAAUCCCCUGGGCCUGCACUGACGCUCAUGCACGAAAGCGUGGGGAGCAAACAGG
This 253-nucleotide ribosomal RNA is filed under the name uncultured bacterium. RNAcentral's name for it is "partial 16S ribosomal RNA". It matches the Rfam family "Bacterial small subunit ribosomal RNA", at positions 524 to 776 of the family's 1533-position model. The record is from RNAcentral.